Drosophila serrata is the source of this 1160-nucleotide long non-coding RNA. The record is from RefSeq and is a predicted model, not a curated record. NCBI's taxonomy places the organism in Eukaryota, Metazoa, Arthropoda, Insecta, Diptera, Drosophilidae.
UCGCGUGAGCAACUCUGCCACAAAUCGAGCAGCGGCAAGCAUUCGCAGCGGAAACUGAAACCGAAACCCCGAAACAGAAACAACACUAAAUUCACAACAAAUUACAAGCAAAUAAAUUAUAAACAAGCAAAAUACAACAAACACAAACCGAUGAAUAGAAAAACCAAAAUAUACAGAAUAUUCCCCUGUAAAAGUCCCCCCGCACAAAACUCGCGAAACGUUUAUUGUGUGUUUAAUGAAAAAUCACAAGUUCUGACCAUAUUAUACAAAUACCAAACAUAUUUUUUUAAAGUGUGAACCCACAAAGUGCUUUAAACCAACAACAACAACAACAACUACUAUUACUACAACUACUUCUACCAAAAUGCCUUUAAACAGCGUCACGCUUUAGUGUCACGAGUGUUAGAAAGUCCCCACCCCUUAAUUGCAAGACCAAUUUUUGAAACUAAAACAGGUGUCCCGUUUGCCAGAGUCUGCCACUGGGAGCAGUGUUGGUAAGCGGUGCAACUAAACAGAUUGUUGCCAAGCGCAGCAGCGAAACAGUGUUAGCAAGCGGCCAACGAAGCAAAGGAAACAGUAGCAGCAGGUGGCCGAAAACAGAACAAACAGGCCCAGCAACUCAGCUCUGGAACCCGGCGACUUGUGCAAUUAAUGAUUCGCUAUCGAUGUGAAGCGAGUUGCCGGCUGUUGUUCAACGUUGAAAGCAACGCAUUCGCUCGGCCCUAGUGCUUCGGGCAACAACACAGACUCGAGAGAUCGGAUAUAGGAUCAGAUCGGGGGAGCACCAGCAAGGAAACGGAAACGGAAACCCAACCCGAAACGGAAACGGAAACUAAACCGAUGGAUCAUCUGCGAAACUCCCACAAAAGAAGCAAAGCAAACAACAGUCUCCUCAAAAGAAAGCAAAUAAGGAAACUCUAGAAGGAAACUUGUGAUAAGUGUGCCUCCAGAACCCACUCGAUAUAUAGCGAGAACGAUAUAUAUAUAUAAACACAAGGAUCAGAUAUAUAUAUAUAUAUAUAAAAACAAGAUAGAUAGACUUGUUGAUUAGUCCAAAAGCAACCAAAACCAACAAGUGCAACGCGUAGGCCUUCAACUGUGAUUUAAGCAUAACAAGAAAGAAAGAAAGGAAAUCAGAUAUAUAUAUAAUAUAUAGAGAG